CCUACGGGAGGCAGCCGUGAGGAAUAUUGGUCAAUGGCCGUAAGGCUGAACCAGCCAAGUCGCGUUAAGGAAGAAGGAUCUAUGGUUUGUAAACUUCUUUUAUAGGGGAAUAAAGGUAUCCACGUGUGGAUAUUUGCAUGUACCCUAUGAAUAAGCAUCGGCUCACUCCGUGCCAGCAGCCGCGGUAAUACGGAGGAUGCGACGGUUAUCUGGAUUUAUGGGGUUUAAAGGGUGCGUAGGUUGUUUUUUAAGUCAGCGGUGAAAGUUUGUGGCUCAACCAUAAAAUUGCCGUUGAAACUGGAAGACGUGAGUGUGUUUGAGGUAGGCGGAAUGCGUGGUGUAGCGGUGAAAUGCAUAGAUAUCACGCAGAACUCCGAUUGCGAAGGCAGCUUACUAAGCCAUAACUGACACUGAAGCACGAAAGCGUGGGGAUCAAACAGGAUUAGAUACCCCUGUAGUC
Molecule: ribosomal RNA, 460 nt
Filed under: uncultured bacterium
Lineage: Bacteria
Description: partial 16S ribosomal RNA
Rfam family: Bacterial small subunit ribosomal RNA
Source: RNAcentral